CGGGUGAGUAACGCGUGGGUAACCUGCCCUUAAGUCUGGGAUACCAUUUGGAAACAGAUGCUAAUACCGGAUAAAAGCUACUUUCGCAUGAAAGAAGUUUAAAAGGCGGCGUAAGCUGUCGCUAAAGGAUGGACCUGCGAUGCAUUAGCUAGUUGGUAAGGUAACGGCUUACCAAGGCGAUGAUGCAUAGCCGAGUUGAGAGACUGAUCGGCCACAUUGGGACUGAGACACGGCCCAAACUCCUACGGGAGGCAGCAGCU
This 260-nucleotide ribosomal RNA is filed under the name uncultured Lactobacillus sp. RNAcentral describes it as "partial 16S ribosomal RNA". It matches the Rfam family "Bacterial small subunit ribosomal RNA", at positions 103 to 355 of the family's 1533-position model. Lineage: Bacteria; Bacillati; Bacillota; Bacilli; Lactobacillales; Lactobacillaceae. The record is from RNAcentral.